CAGGAUGAUGUUUAAAAGCAGUGGUAAGAUGGCAAGAGGUUUCCUACCCCCGUCCCCAGCUUCUUUCAAGAUUUCUUAAGUUUUCUGCAGUUUGAACAUUAUAUGCCUAGUCAACAUCCGGAUACAAGGUGUAGAAGAGAAAAGAAGCAAGAGUCUGGCAGAGAUAAACCACUGAGGAACUUAGAACUCUGUGGAAAGUGAAGGUAACUGUGGUUUGCUCCCAUCACUCUGGCAGCAAUCUGCUGUCCAACUGUUGGAAAACCCCUAUGCCCUUUCAAUGCUGAGAAAUGCUUUCAGUGGUGAGCACCUGUGGAAAACACCUAUGAGAUUCUACACAAGAUGACCAUCACCAAGGCAUAUAGUCAUCAAACUAUCCAAGAUCAGUAUGAAAGAAUAAAUCUUAAAGGCAACAAGAGAAAAUGGAUAAAUCACCAAUAAAGGAAAUUUUAUCAGACUAACAAGAGUUCUCAGCAGAAACCUUACCACCCAGAAAAGAUUGUGGGCCUAUUUUUAGCCUUCUUAUGAAAAGAAAAAUGCCA
RNAcentral lists this long non-coding RNA (539 nucleotides) under Homo sapiens (human). Its description in RNAcentral is "HSALNT0284407". Lineage: Eukaryota; Metazoa; Chordata; Mammalia; Primates; Hominidae. The record is from RNAcentral.